Molecule: non-coding RNA, 323 nt
Organism: Biomphalaria pfeifferi
Lineage: Eukaryota; Metazoa; Mollusca; Gastropoda; Planorbidae
Source: the annotation of a GenBank genome assembly
AAUAGUUGUAAAAGUGGUGUAUUUCUAUGAAAAAACUGCUUGCAUAAGAGAUUUCAAAAAAUUAGAUUUUUCACUUUCAGAAAAGAGAAAAAUAGACGUUGCAUUAGAACUUUGAAUGGUCGAAAAUAUUAUGAUGUCAGAUUUUCAUUAUCUUUUCUAGUUUAUGAGUUCUAAAUGACAGACAGGUAUUCCACACAAAACUAAUAGCAUCUUUUCCCCUUUUGGGGGCCACUAAAAAUGAAAUCUCUGAAAAUUGUUUAAACAUAGAGCUUUUAAAGAUCAUGCACAUCUUUUAUUAAGAACAAUCUAAAGUUCAGAUAAUC